UGCGGCAGUGGCAGCUGCAGCUGGAAGAGAAGGAGAGGAAAUAGAGCAGGGGAGGAAGAAGAGGUUGCGGCUGCGGUGGUGGCGGCUGCGUCUGCAGCAGCUGUGUUUGGGAAAGAAAAAAGUAGGAACGAGAGAAGGGAGGAAGGAAGUAGUGCAGUGGAAGGGGCUGCGGUUGUGACAGCAGCUGCGGUCGUGGCUACGACUGUGGUAGUGGCAGCGGCAAUGGCUACGAUAGCUGCGUUUGAAAAAGAAAACGAAGGAAUGAGAGUAAGAGAGAGCAGGUGACUAUGCCUCUAUGUUCUGCAUGAGCUGCAGUUGUGGAGGAAAAAGAGAAGACAUAUGUAGAACACGGAACAGGGAGAGGACACGGAGGAAAAGUAGAAGGAUUUGGGCUGACACCUUCUUUGGAUCUUCGGAUCAAAAUCUUUGAAAGGCAAGUGUUCCAAUCCUUCCUAUUGCAAGUGUUCCGAUCCUUCCUAUUGCAAGCUUUCUAAUCUUUCCUAUUGCAAGUGUCCUGACCUUUCCUUACUGCAAUUUUAUCUCUACAUUUGCUUUGAAUAUAAGGAACUUUGAAUUGUUCUAGCCUUGCAUUUGAUAUAUCUCCUGUUUAGACGUAACGAUUCGAAUCUGUGCAACUUCUGAGAUUCUGACCCUUCUACCUGGUUAUGGUUAUAACUUCAUAUAUUGACCUUUGAUUUGGACAAAAAUUAUUUGAUCAGAAUAUAGACUCAUAAACCUUUUUUUUUAUAGCUUAUUUUAAGAAUUCGAAGUAAGUUUGUCUGCCCAAACUUCUGUUUCAAAUGAGCCUACAGAUUCUGCUAAACAGGGAUCGUAAUUUCUGACCUUUUGAUACCGAGCUGCCUAUAAGUCAAUGUUGGAAACUCCGAUUUGUUCAAAACUUAUUUCAUUGGAAACUAGACUCGUAGAUCUUUCUUUGAUACCUGGAUUGAAAGAUUUAGACUCCAAAUGCCUGCCCGAUUUUCUGUUGAAACCGACCCUGUGAAUUCUGUAAAAUUGAGAUUUGUUCUUUGAUCUUGGGUUACUAAAUCUAUUGUAACUCUUUGUUGGAAACUUUGAUUCAUACGAGACUUAUUUUAUUUGAAAAUAGAUUGAAAUAUCUUUCCACAAUAGCUUUCUUGUGUAAAUUGGAGCACGAUUGAUAGUUUGAAUCAUUUGUUCAAUGUGCCUCUUGAAUUCUGCCAGAAAUCGAGCUUUGGUCGAUUUCGCAUAUUCUGGUUUCAUUCCUUUGGAAAUUGAUAUCCUUUAGCUUUCUUAUUCAAUUAAGCUUUAUAUUACUGUUUUGAAUUCUUGUAUGCUCUUGUCCAUCAAAUUAUUUGCAUUCUUGAAAACUAUUGUGUAAUGUUUAUGCUAUAUCGUAUUGACUCAUAUAGACACAUGUAUAUCCCAUUGUUCCGCAUUUGCUUUCGAUAUGUGCCUAUUCCAGUUUCAUUCCUUUGGACAUUGAAUUCAUCUAACCUUCUUAUUUGAAUUGAGUUAUAUGUGAUUGCUUGGAAUCCUUGAAUGCUCUUGCUUUUAUUUCCUUUCAAAUCUGAAUACAAUUGUGAAAGAUUAUUGCUUACUUCGCAUUGACUCGUAAAGGCACAUGUACGUUUUGUUGUUCCGCGUGUGCUUCCGAUAUGUGUUAUUUAUUGUUCAUACUAUCCUUUUGUACUCUGGUGUUUGUGGAAUAUUGUAAACCUUUGCCAGAAAUGGUGAAAGGAGUUAUGCAUAGAGCCUGUGAUGCUCUGCCGGCCCUUAUGACUUCACUCAGACGUGGGUGGAUGGAGCUCCUAGACGUGGGAGACUUAUGUUUGGUGGUCAUUCAGAAAUGGAUGUACCAUAUUAUGUUAUAAUCCCACUUCACCUUCUGUAUGUUUGAUAUGGUAUCCAGAGCUUUGGUUAUGUGUUUCUAUACAUGCUUUGGAUAAAAAUGAAAUGAAUGCAACGUCAAUUCGACGUUUGAGCUUCUGUUUCGUAUUCGUUCUUUGAAAUGCUCCGAAAUGAUCAAUACGCCAUUGAUAUGUUCCGAAAUAUUUCAGUUAUCAUUGAUAUGCUCCGGAACAUUUCAUACGCCUUUGAUAUGCUCCAAUUACUCUAUGCUCCAUCUGUUAUGAAUCAAAUAGGUUUUGAAUGACAUGACACAUAUGAUUUUGUAUCUAAGGAUAUGGUAUCUUGAAAAUUCUUGUAUUCUGCCUUGCAUUAUGAUAUCUUACUUGUUUGAACUCAUUAUAAUAUCUGCCUUGCAUUAUUUGUCACUUGCUGAGCUGUUUUUAGCUCACUCCGUUGUUAUAUAAAAUCUUUCAGGUCAGCUUGUCACUCUUUGAGAUGUUUGAAUUGGGCUGAGGCAGUGGAGAGCUAUUCAGAAUUAUG
Molecule: long non-coding RNA, 2370 nt
Filed under: Musa acuminata (dwarf banana)
Lineage: Eukaryota; Viridiplantae; Streptophyta; Magnoliopsida; Zingiberales; Musaceae
Description: long non-coding RNA (MACU_LNC002735)
Source: RNAcentral